UACAGAGGGUGCGAGCGUUAAUCGGAAUUACUGGGCGUAAAGCGCGCGUAGGCGGCUUUUCAAGUCGGAUGUGAAAUCCCCGGGCUUAACCUGGGAACUGCAUUCGAGACUGUCUAGCUAGAGUAUGGGAGAGGGAAGUGGAAUUUCAGGUGUAGCGGUGAAAUGCGUAGAUAUCAGAAAGAACACCAGUGGCGAAGGCGGUCCUCUGGUCCACUAUUGACGCUAAAGCACGAAAGCGUGGGGAGCAAACAGG
Molecule: ribosomal RNA, 253 nt
Filed under: uncultured bacterium
Lineage: Bacteria
Description: partial 16S ribosomal RNA
Rfam family: Bacterial small subunit ribosomal RNA
Source: RNAcentral